UACAGAGGGUGCGAGCGAUAAUCGGAAUUACUGGGCGUAAAGCGCACGUAGGUGGCGACGUAAGUCGGGUGUGAAAGCCCCGGGCUCAACCUGGGAAUAGCAUUCGAGACUGCAUUGCUGGAGUACGGAAGAGGAGGGCGGAAUUCCCGGUGUAGCGGUGAAAGGCGUAGAUAUCGGGAGGAACAUCAGUGGCGAAGGCGGCCCUCUGGUCCAGUACUGACACUCAAGUGCGAAAGCGUGGGGAGCAAACAGG
This 253-nucleotide ribosomal RNA is filed under the name uncultured bacterium. RNAcentral's name for it is "partial 16S ribosomal RNA". It matches the Rfam family "Bacterial small subunit ribosomal RNA", at positions 524 to 776 of the family's 1533-position model. The record is from RNAcentral.